RNAcentral lists this small nucleolar RNA (97 nucleotides) under Trypanosoma cruzi. Its description in RNAcentral is "C/D small nucleolar RNA (snoRNA)". Lineage: Eukaryota; Euglenozoa; Kinetoplastea; Trypanosomatida; Trypanosomatidae. The record is from RNAcentral.
CUGCGUGAUGAUCUCGCUAACUGAGUGUACCUUUUUCGAUGCGCCCUGCGCAGUGAAAUGAGUUCUGGCGGUUGGUCCUUCCCGGGCCUCACUGACG